UACGUAGGGACCGAGCGUUGUCCGGACUCAUUGGGCGUAAAGAGCGUGUAGGCGGCUUGCUAAGUCUUGCGUGAAAUCUCGGGGCUCAACCCCGAGCGGUCGUGGGAAACUGGCAGGCUAGAGUGCGGAAGAGGCGAGUGGAAUUCCUGGUGUAGCGGUGAAAUGCGCAGAUAUCAGGAAGAACACCCGUGGCGAAGGCGGCUCUCUGGGACGGUACUGACGCUGAGACGCGAAAGCGUGGGGAGCGAACAGG
Molecule: ribosomal RNA, 253 nt
Filed under: uncultured bacterium
Lineage: Bacteria
Description: partial 16S ribosomal RNA
Rfam family: Bacterial small subunit ribosomal RNA
Source: RNAcentral